AAUAUGAAAGUUCAGAAAGUUCAGAUUCGUCGAUGGCACUAGCUCUAAACACUAAGAGCAUCUCCAAUGCUCAACUCUAUUUUUUCCUCUAUUUUUGAGUUGAUUUUAUUUUAGAGAAAAUAUAGUUGAUUUUGCUGUAUUGUAUGCCUCUAAAAUAGAGGAAAAAUGUAGAUAUAUUUUUCUCUAUUUUAGAGAAUUACAAUGGAGCAAAAUCAACUAUAUUUCCUCUAAAAUAGAGUUAGUCAUUGAGAAUGGUCUAAGUAAUUCUGAGUGAAACGUGACGUCUAUGGGUAAAAUAUUCUUGAUUUGAUU
Molecule: small RNA, 312 nt
Filed under: Arabidopsis thaliana (thale cress)
Lineage: Eukaryota; Viridiplantae; Streptophyta; Magnoliopsida; Brassicales; Brassicaceae
Description: ATSL077640
Source: RNAcentral